Sarcophilus harrisii (Tasmanian devil) is the source of this 3963-nucleotide long non-coding RNA. NCBI's taxonomy places the organism in Eukaryota, Metazoa, Chordata, Mammalia, Dasyuromorphia, Dasyuridae. The record is from Ensembl.
AGAAUAUCCUCUGUCCACUUUUCUUCCAACAUAAAUCUUAUUCAUUCUUCAAAAGCCAGCUUAAGACGCAUCAUCUCUGUUUUACAUUCUUUUACUAAUUCUGCCCUAUUAUGAAAUUUCUAUUAUUAUAAAUUCCCUUAUUUCUUUUGCUUAUUUAUUACUUUUUAGUUUUUCUUUGUUUCAUUUAAAGCCUGGAUUUCUGCUGAUCAGUGGUCAGUUUUUCCUUUUGUAUGUUCCAAAACUCUUAAUGAAGUGAUAGUUAUGUUGUCAUUGCUUAUUAAUUUAAAUUACCCACCCAGGAUAAUUGAUCAAAUGUACCACUUGUUGAAACCAGUGAUGUUUUUUAAAAAAAUUUAUGUCUAAAUCCUAUCCUUUUUUUUAAAAAAAAAAUCCACUUUAAUUCCUGCUUCAUAAUGCUAUAAAGUAAUAAAACUUAUUGAGAAUUAAAGUUGUUUAUUUGGAAAAUGUAUUUUUUUAAAAAAAUCUUAUCUUAACAUUAAAAAAAUUAGUUUCAAUCUCAGUCUUUUUCUAACCUACUGAAAAUGCAAGCAAUAUGACACACUAUAUAUGAGAAACCAUUUAAAACUUUUUAUUGUGUUCACCGUGUUACAAAACAGUCAGGAAAAAUAAAGUGAGAAAAUUACACUCAUACUUCAUCAAUUCUCUCUGUGAGGUAGAUAAUUUUCAUUAUGAUUGUUUGAAAUUGUCUUGAAUCAGAGUAGCUAAAUCUUUCGCAGGAAAUCAUUAUUACAAUAUUGCUGUUACUAUUCUCCUGGUUAUUUUCGCUUCACUUUGUACCAGUUCAUAUAAGACUACCCAGAAUUUUCUUUCUUUUUUUUUUUUUUUUGCUAAGUUGGAGUUAAGUGACUUGACCAAGUCACAUAGCUAGAAAGUGUUAAGUAUUUGAAACCAGAUUUGAACUCAGAUACUCAUGACUUCAGGGCUGGUGCUCUACCCAUUGCAUCAACUAGCUGCCCCUAGAUUUUUCUGAAGCCAUUCUCAUCAUCUCUUACAGCACAAUAAUGGUUUAUUUAUUUAUAUGGGAAAUGUACACUGUAUGUUUAAGAUUCAUACAAACAAUAUGGUAGCUCAAAAGAAAGAUUGGCAGAGUUAACAUAAAAAUAGUAAUUAUAGUAUACAAAUGAAGUGCAGAGGAAGAAUAGAUACAGAGGCAUUAGAGGAGGCAGGAAACCUCACAUGGGAAAUGGAUUUAAUAGGAAACACUACAUAUGUACCUUAAAGAGUAUAGUAUCUUCCAAAAUCUAUAAGGAAAUAAGGGGGGAGGGAUGGGAGGAUGGGGAAGCAAAGGAGGUGGGAAGAAGACAAGAGAGGGAUCAAUGUUAAGCAACACAAGUAAAGCAAAGUCAACAGAGAUAGUAAAGGGUUGUGUGUGUAUGUGUAUCUAUAUAUGUAUGUAUAUAUGUAUACAGAAAUACAAAUUUUUUUAAACUUUGGCUGCUUGGGGGCAGGAUGGUAAACUAGACUAAGUAGGGUAUACAGCAGAGAACAAAAGAACAAUUUACAAGGAAGUAAAGAAAAAAAUGAACUUUCAUGAAUAUAAUUUCUUCUACUAAUAUAUAUAUAUUUUCUUGAUUCUGGCAAUUUGUUAUGUAUUUUGAAUCCUCCCUGAUGUUGUGCUGGGCACAUGACAAUGUUCUUUUUUGUUUUAUUUUGUUUUAUAUUUCUUUUCUGGCUUUUUUUUCCCGACCUGUCCUGCUGACCUUCUAAGUUGUCUUAAGCUGGAAAAAUGUCUCACCUUAAGCUUUUUUUUUUUUUUUUCCUUUUGCUGGGCCACUGAAGAAUUUUAUUUGAGUUAUUAUUUUUAAGUUGUUUGGAGGAAAAUAUUGGGACAGUUUGACUGAGUUGCUGCCUCUACUUUGUUAUCAGAGUAUUUUAUGUCUGUCCAUGUUUUGAAAAUUUCUCCAGAUCCAUUUAGUUAAUUUGAGGCAUCUUGCAGUAGUUCAAAACCAGGACUGGGUAUUGGGGAAUAUGAAUAUAAUGGGAAUAUUGUACAUCUUAUAAAAUAACAAGUGUAUUAUCUAUAUGUAUUUCUUUUUUACAUAAUUAACAUACUUAAUGUUAAAUACAUUGCUCUUGAGAAGCCUCUUUACUAGUAAUCCUACUCUAUGCACUUAUUCAUUUAUGUAAUAUUACCAUAUUAUUAAUAGCAUUAUAUGUACUUGUUCCUUCUCUUUUUAUAUUUCCUGCCUCCCAUAAGCUAUCAUAUAUUCAAGAUACUGUGUGGAUCUGCAUCUCCUCAAAACCAUAGGGUUCACUCUACCAACAAGCUUAAUCUUAAAAAUCACUAAUUACUUUUUAAAAGCUGGGCUUGUGAUUUCUUUCAUGUAGGGCUCUGUCAGUGAGAAAUAUUUUUCUACCAAUGUAGAUAAGCGACUGUUACUUUGAGUUACUUGGAGCAUUGAAAGGUUAUAUGAUUUCUUUUGAGUUUAAAGAGCAGUAUAUGUAUUAGGGGCAACACAUGAACCUAGGCCUUCCUGAGUACUAGGCUAGUUCUUCAUCAAAUUUUAUUUUUCCUUUCCUGUACUUAUUUUUACUAAUUAUUCAAAGGAUACAAUUGUAUUAAUACAACACUCACUCACCCAAAUCUUGGGCACACUCUCCCACAAAAAACAAAUUGCUAUUUGACAAAAAUUGCUGGAAAACUAGACAGCAAUCUUGUAGAAAUUAGAUUUAGACAUAUUUCAUAAUUAUGCAUAAAGUAUACCUGAGUACUUGAUCAAGUAAAUUCUAGGAAGGAUCACAGAAAAAAAAGGGAUUAAUUUUGAUUACAAAAAAUUAAAGUUUUUUGCACAACCAAUGCAAUUAAAAUUAAUAGAGAAAUAGCUCACAGUGGAAAAAACAUUUUACUCCAGGGUUAUCUAACAAAAUUCUGAUGUUUAAGACAUAUAAGGAAGUGAUCCAAAUGCAUAAGACUAAAGAGCCUUUCUCUAAUGGAUAAAUAGUCAAGGGAUAAGAGUAGUUCUUUUUUUUCCUGAAAGAAAUCUUUUAAUUUUGAAAUGUCCCUUAGUUUUCUUUUUUAUAUUAAUUUUUUAGGUUAUAUAUGUAUAUUAAUUUUUUACAUAUUUCUACAUGAGUCAUGUUGGGAGAGAAAAAUCAGAAAAACCACAAGAGGGAAAAAAGAAAAAAGGUGAAAAUAGUAUGCUUUUUUUCACAUUCAGUCUCCAUAGUUCUCUUUCUGGAUGCAGAUGGCAUUUUCCAUCCAAAGUUUAUCGGACUUGCCUAAGAUCACUGAAUUACUGAAAAGAGCUAAAUGUAUGAUAAUGGCUCAUCACAAUCUUGCUGUUGCUAUGUGUAAUGUUUUUCUGGUUUUGAUUGCUUUACUCAGCAUCAGUUCAUCAGACUUUUCUGAAUUCAGCCUGUUCAUCAUUUCUUAUAAAAUAAUAUUUCAUUAUUUUCGUGUGCUAUAAUUUUUUAAGACAUUCCCCAAUUGAUCAAUAUCCACUCAUUUUCUAAUUCUUUGCCACAACAAAACUGCUAUAAACAGUUUUUUCACAUAUAAGUCCUUUUCCCUUUUAUAAUCUCUUUGGUAUACAAACCCAAUAGGGACACUUCUAGGUUAAAGAGUACACAAGAACCAGGAGAUCAUUAUAUACCUCAACAACGAUACUGUAUGAGCAUGUAUUCUGAUGGAAGUGGAUUUCUUCGACAAAGAGAAGAUCUAGCUCAGUUUCAAUUGAUCAAGGAUGGACAGAAGCAGCUACACCCAAAGAAAGAACAUUAGGAAAUGAAUGUAAAUUGCUUGCGUUUUUGUUUUUCUUCCCGGGGUAUUUAUACCUUCUAAAUCCAAUUCUCCCUGUGCAACAAGAGAACUGUUUGGAUCUGCACACAUAUAUUGUAUCUAAGAUCUACUGUAACCUAUUUAACAUGUAUAGGACUGCUUGCCAUCUGGGGGAGGGGGUGGAGGGAGAGAGGGGAAAAAUUGGAACAGAAGUGAGUGCAAGG